GAACGCUGGCGGCGUGCCUAAUACAUGCAAGUCGAACGGGAAACUAGUUUUCGGAUUAGUGGAGAGUGGCGCACGGGUGAGUAACACAUGGCUGACCUGCCCUUCAGAGGGGGACAACCAGUGGAAACGCUGGCUAAUACCCCAUACGCUCGCGGGUUUUAGAACGCCGUGAGGAAAAGCUGCGGCGCUGAAGGAGGGGGCUGUGACCCAUCAGCUAGUUGGUAGGGUAAAGGCCUACCAAGGCGAGGACGGGUAGGGGGCCUGAGAGGGUGACCCCCCACACGGGUACUGAGACACGGACCCGACUCCUACGGGAGGCAGCAGUAAGGGAUAUUGCGCAAUGGACGAAAGUCUGACGCAGCAACGCCGCGUGCGGGAUGACGGCCUUCGGGUUGUAAACCGCUUUUCUGUGCGAAGAGGAAGGACGGUAGCGCAGGAAUAAGUCUCGGCUAACUACGUGCCAGCAGCCGCGGUAAAACGUAGGAGGCGAGCGUUAUCCGGAUUUACUGGGUGUAAAGCGCGUGCAGGCGGUGUCGUAAGUGGUGCGUGAAAGCGCUCGGCUCAACCGGGCGAGGACGUGCCAAACUGCGGUACUUGAGAUAGGUAGAGGCGUGUGGAAUUCCGGGUGUAGUGGUGAAAUGCGUAGAGAUCCGGAGGAACACCAGUGGCGAAGGCGACACGCUGGACCUAAACUGACGCUAAGACGCGAAAGCAUGGGGAGCAAACGGGAUUAGAAACCCCGGUAGUCCAUGCCGUAAACGA
Molecule: ribosomal RNA, 762 nt
Filed under: uncultured bacterium
Lineage: Bacteria
Description: bacterial SSU rRNA
Rfam family: Bacterial small subunit ribosomal RNA
Source: RNAcentral